GGCUGUGUAGACUACUUCAAGAAUUUCUGACCGCCCAAUGUUGUUUAUAAACAACAGAGGCUCAGUGGCCUAUACACAACUCUUUCAGGUUGUUCCCACAAAAAAAAAAAACUCUUUUAAGGUUGUUGAACCUCGCCUAAUCUAAUAGAAUCUUUUUGAAUUAUGUUUUGGCCAGAAUUACUAUAUAGGAGUAUGAUUUAUCUUUGCCUCUUUCGUACACAUUCCUUCUGCAUGAGAAUUGAGGAGGUCAAAUACUGACAUAAAUCGGAAUGGUGACAUGCUACUUCUUUACAAACAGGGUACAAACUGUAAGAAAGCUCUUAGAAAUUGUUAAACUUAUUAGUCCGUGAUAACUUAAUACCUGACAAAGAGGUUGCUGAGCUCAGUCUUAAAAAUAGAAAGAGCUAUGGGUGGUACUGCCCAGUCUCUAUUUUGUUUUCAGUAGGGAAGCUACCACUAUAUGUUGUUUUCAGUGUGAAAACUCUAAUUUUUUCCCCAACACGUAUUUUCUUUAUUAUUAUAUUUUUAUUUUGUCCUAAAUACUACUUGGUUCAUAUUUCUUGCUUUCCAUUGUUUGUAAUGUGAACCAAAAUCCU
This 596-nucleotide long non-coding RNA is filed under the name Triticum aestivum (bread wheat). RNAcentral describes it as "long non-coding RNA (TAES_LNC018883)". Lineage: Eukaryota; Viridiplantae; Streptophyta; Magnoliopsida; Poales; Poaceae. The record is from RNAcentral.